This 276-nucleotide long non-coding RNA is filed under the name Homo sapiens (human). RNAcentral describes it as "HSALNT0243747". The record is from RNAcentral. Lineage: Eukaryota; Metazoa; Chordata; Mammalia; Primates; Hominidae.
CUGAGCUGGGCAUGAGUAGGACAGAAAGCUGCCACAGCUGACAGUCCUGGGGGAGGUGGACGUGGCACACGGUGUCCGAGACACAAGGAGAAGGUGAGGCCUGCCCUCAAGAGGGGAGUUGACUGUGUUUUGGGAGUUUGAGUGGAUGAGGGUUACUUCCAAGUAGGGGAAGGAAAGGUGUGGCUUUUCAGUUGGGCCUCAAAGGAUGAGUGAGUUAGGAACACAGGGAAAUGGAGGGGAAGGACAUCCCAGGGGACAAGAAGAGCCAGAGCAAAG